This is a non-coding RNA of Ustilago trichophora, 106 nucleotides long. Lineage: Eukaryota; Fungi; Basidiomycota; Ustilaginomycetes; Ustilaginales; Ustilaginaceae. The record is from the annotation of a GenBank genome assembly.
GUGGGAGAGGCUUAGUGGUUUGGCGUGAGAUUGCAACAUAUCUUUCCUUUGAAAGAAUGGCGCCACAAAAAUCUUGAGGUCGUGGGUUCGAUUCCCACCUUCCACU